Molecule: ribosomal RNA, 490 nt
Filed under: uncultured bacterium
Lineage: Bacteria
Description: SSU rRNA
Rfam family: Bacterial small subunit ribosomal RNA
Source: RNAcentral
AGAGCGAACGCUGGCGGCGUGCCUAACACAUGCAAGUCGAACGUGAACGGGGGCAACCCCUAGUAAAGUGGCGUACGGGUGAGUAACGCGUAGGUAAUCUACCCCAGAAUCCGGAAUAACCGGCCGAAAGGCUGGCUAAUAACCGGAUAGAGCGACGGAAUCCGUAAUUGGGUUUUUCGGGAAAGGGGGGCCGUAAGGUCUCUCGUUUUGGGAUGAGCCUGCGUCUCAUUAGCUAGUUGGUGGGGUAAUGGCCCACCAAGGCUUUGAUGGGUAGCUGGUCUGAGAGGAUGAUCAGCCACACUGGGACUGAGACACGGCCCAGACUCCUACGGGAGGCAGCAGCUAGGAAUCUUGCGCAAUGGACGAAAAGUCUGACGCAGCGACGCCGCGUGCGGGAUGAAGGCCUUAGGGUCGUAAACCGCUUUCAGCAGGGACGAAAUUGACGGUACCUGGCAGAAGAAGCCCCGGCAACUACGUGCCAGCCAGCCGC